AGUGAACGCUGGCGGUAGGCCUAACACAUGCAAGUCGAACGGCAGCACAGUAAGCGCUUGCUCUUACGGGUGGCGAGUGGCGGACGGGUGAGGAAUACAUCGGAAUCUACUUUUUCGUGGGGGAUAACGUAGGGAAACUUACGCUAAUACCGCAUACGACGUACGGGUGAAAGCAGGGGAUCUUCGGACCUUGCGCGACUGAAUGAGCCGAUGUCGGAUUAGCUAGUUGGCGGGGUAAAGGCCCACCAAGGCGACGAUCCGUAGCUGGUCUGAGAGGAUGAUCAGCCACACUGGAACUGAGACACGGUCCAGACUCCUACGGGAGGCAGCAGUGGGGAAUAUUGGACAAUGGGCGCAAGCCUGAUCCAGCCAUACCGCGUGGGUGAAGAAGGCCUUCGGGUUGUAAAGCCCUUUUGUUGGGAAAGAAAAGCAGCAGGUUAAUACCCCGCUGUUCUGACGGUACCCAAAGAAUAAGCACCGGCUAACUUCGUG
RNAcentral lists this ribosomal RNA (492 nucleotides) under uncultured bacterium. Its description in RNAcentral is "partial 16S ribosomal RNA". It matches the Rfam family "Bacterial small subunit ribosomal RNA", at positions 29 to 507 of the family's 1533-position model. The record is from RNAcentral.